Molecule: long non-coding RNA, 329 nt
Organism: Penaeus monodon (black tiger shrimp)
Lineage: Eukaryota; Metazoa; Arthropoda; Malacostraca; Decapoda; Penaeidae
Exons: 3
Source: RefSeq, a predicted model, not a curated record
UUCAGCGAACUCCUAAGGCACACAAAGAUGCGAUUCCUCGUGGUGUUGGCGGUUGUCCUCCUGUGGCAGUGGCCCAGAGCAGCGCGGGUAUGAUGGGUUUCGGAGGAGGGAAAGGAGGAGUAGGCGGAUAUGGCGGUGGAUAUGGAGACAGCGGCCCGCAGAUCGUGUAUUUGCCUGUGAACUGUGGGCCCUACCAGGCUGGCGGCGGUAUGGUGUCCCAUGGAGGCGGAUACGGCAUGUCCAUGGGAGGUUAUGGACGGUAAAACCUGCGCCGAGCGGCCUCCGCGACCCGCCUGCCUCGCCACCAAAGGGCGCGAUUUCGUUUCAAA